CCUACGGGUGGCAGCAGUGGGGAAUAUUGGGCAAUGGGCGCAAGCCUGACCCAGCAACGCCGCGUGAAGGAAGAAGGCUUUCGGGUUGUAAACUUCUUUUAAUCGGGAAGAGCAGAAGACGGUACCUCUUGAAUAAGCCACGGCUAACUACGUGCCAGCAGCCGCGGUAAUACGUAGGUGGCAAGCGUUGUCCGGAUUUAUUGGGUUUAAAGGGAGCGUAGGCGGGUUGUUAAGUCAGUUGGGAAAGUUUGCGGCUCAACCGUAAAAUUGCAGUUGAUACUGGCAUCCUUGAGUACAGUAGAGGUAGGCGGAAUUCGUGGUGUAGCGGUGAAAUGCUUAGAUAUCACGAAGAACUCCGAUUGCGAAGGCAGCCUGCUGGACUGUAACUGACGCUGAUGCUCGAAAGUGUGGGUAUCAAACAGGAUUAGAUACCCCAGUAGUC
RNAcentral lists this ribosomal RNA (442 nucleotides) under uncultured bacterium. Its description in RNAcentral is "partial 16S ribosomal RNA". It matches the Rfam family "Bacterial small subunit ribosomal RNA", at positions 338 to 795 of the family's 1533-position model. The record is from RNAcentral.